Molecule: long non-coding RNA, 345 nt
Organism: Platichthys flesus (European flounder)
Lineage: Eukaryota; Metazoa; Chordata; Actinopteri; Pleuronectiformes; Pleuronectidae
Exons: 3
Source: RefSeq, a predicted model, not a curated record
GUGGACGUUGUUCGCUCAGCAGGUUAGAGUGUGGGACGCUCGCAAAGCUUUUUUCCCCCGUCCGUCGUGUCUUUUCCUGUGUGAACUCUGCCGCUCUCAACAGCAGCACUGGCUAUGAGCUAGCUCCUGCUAGCUCCAACAACCAUCUCUCAACUGCUACAAGGUCCAACUUGACACACAACUUGAAUCCAACCAGACUGAACACUGACUCCAGGGACAGACGAGCCUGAAGGACACAGCUGUGAUGACCAUGUUCUGUCUCUUAUGGCAAAGCAGAAAUAUAAAACACUGGGUUCUUAUCUAAAGUGUAUCAAAUCAGAUCUCCACCAUGUUGCUGCUGAGGAC